AUUGAACGCUGGCGGCAGGCCUAACACAUGCAAGUCGAACGGUAACAGGGAUCAGCUUGCUGAUUCGCUGACGAGUGGCGGACGGGUGAGUAAUGUCUGGGAAACUGCCUGAUGGAGGGGGAUAACUACUGGAAACGGUAGCUAAUACCGCAUAACGUCGCAAGACCAAAGAGGGGGACCUUCGGGCCUCUGGCCAUCGGAUGUGCCCAGAUGGGAUUAGCUAGUAGGUGGGGUAACGGCUCACCUAGUCGACGAUCCCUAGGUGGUCUGAGAGGAUGACCAGCCACACUGGAACUGAGACACGGUCAAGACUCCUACGGGAGGCAGCAGUGGGGAAUAUUGCACAAUGGGCGCAAGCCUGAUGCAGCCAUGCCGCGUGUAUGAAGAAGGCCUUCGGGUUGUAAAGUACUUUCAGCGGGGAGGAAGGGAGUAAAGUUAAUACCUUUGCUCAUUGACGUUACCCGCAGAAGAAGCACCGGCUAACUCCGUG
RNAcentral lists this ribosomal RNA (490 nucleotides) under uncultured bacterium. RNAcentral describes it as "partial 16S ribosomal RNA". It matches the Rfam family "Bacterial small subunit ribosomal RNA", at positions 30 to 507 of the family's 1533-position model. The record is from RNAcentral.